GGGUCGGUACUCAAGCGGUCAACGAGGUCAGACUGUAAAUCUGAUGGCUCAGCCUUCGCAGGUUCGAAUCCUGCCCGGCCCA
RNAcentral lists this transfer RNA (82 nucleotides) under Candidatus Magasanikiibacteriota bacterium. RNAcentral describes it as "tRNA-Tyr". It matches the Rfam family "tRNA". Rfam says of the family: Transfer RNA (tRNA) molecules are approximately 80 nucleotides in length. Their secondary structure includes four short double-helical elements and three loops (D, anti-codon, and T loops). Further hydrogen bonds mediate the characteristic L-shaped molecular structure. tRNAs have two regions of fundamental functional importance: the anti-codon, which is responsible for specific mRNA codon recognition, and the 3' end, to which the tRNAs corresponding amino acid is attached (by aminoacyl-tRNA synthetases). tRNAs cope with the degeneracy of the genetic code in two manners: having more than one tRNA (with a specific anti-codon) for a particular amino acid; and 'wobble' base-pairing, i.e. permitting non-standard base-pairing at the 3rd anti-codon position. The record is from RNAcentral. Lineage: Bacteria; Candidatus Magasanikiibacteriota.